UCGAGGAUCAUUCGCAAUGCGCGAAAGCGUGACGGUGCGACGCCGCGUGCAGGAUGAAGGCCUUCGGGUCGUAAACUGCUGUCAUGAGGGAACAAUGUCCGGAAUGUUAACACCAUUUCGGGGUGAUAGUACCUCAAGAGGAAGCCACGGCUAACUCUGUGCCAGCAGCCGCGGUAAUACAGAGGCGGCGAGCGUUGUUCGGAUUUACUGGGCGUAAAGGGUGCGUAGGCGGUUCUGUGUGUCGGAUGUGAAAGCUCACAGCUCAACUGUGGAAUUGCAUUUGAAACUACAGGGCUGGAGUACAGGAGAGGAGAGCGGAAUUCUCGGUGUAGCGGUGAAAUGCGUAGAUAUCGAGAGGAACACCGGUGGCGAAGGCGGCUCUCUGGACUGAUACUGACGCUGAGGCACGAAAGCUGGGGGAGCAAACAGG
This 430-nucleotide ribosomal RNA is filed under the name uncultured bacterium. RNAcentral describes it as "bacterial SSU rRNA". It matches the Rfam family "Bacterial small subunit ribosomal RNA", at positions 355 to 776 of the family's 1533-position model. The record is from RNAcentral.